GAUGAACGCUGGCGGCGUGCCUAAUACAUGCAAGUCGAACGGACAGGCCAUGCUCUUGCGGGGUGCUCGAGUGGCGAACGGGUGAGUAACACGUGAGUAAAAUGCCCCUGUCUUUGGGAUAAAUCCAGGAAACUGGGGCUAAUAUAGGAUAGGAGCUCCUGAUGCACGGUGGGGGUUGGAAAGUUUCGGCGGUAGGGGAUGGUAUAGCGGCUUAUCAGCUUGUUGGUGGGGUAGUGGCUUACCAAGGCUUUGAAGGGUAGCCGGCCUGGGAGGUUGACCGGCCACAAUGGGACUGAGGUACGGACCAGACUCCUACGGGAGGCAGCAGUGGGGAAUAUGGCACAAUGGGCGCAAGCCUGAGGCAGCGACGCCGCGUGCGGAAUAACGGCCUUCGAGUUAUAAACCGCUGUCGCCUGUGACGAAGCGGGAGUGACGGUAAUGGGUAAGGAAGCACCGGCUAACUACGUG
Molecule: ribosomal RNA, 468 nt
Filed under: uncultured bacterium
Lineage: Bacteria
Description: partial 16S ribosomal RNA
Rfam family: Bacterial small subunit ribosomal RNA
Source: RNAcentral